GCCAGAUAGAACUAUAUGUUAGAGGUGGUGUGACGAGGUGUAUAGUUUGAGGAGGGUCUGUGUGUUCAAGUUUUGUAACAGAGUCUUUUUUAUUUAAUUGUAUUUAAUUCAAGUCCAUGCUCCCCAAAUGGCACCACACAGCUAAGGAACAGGGACCAGACUUCAGUAUGUCUGAUGAGUAAGCUGCAGCUACAGCAGGCUGUGGUGUUAGUGGGUCAGGUGGUCAGCCUGAGGUGGUCUUAGUGGGUCAGGUGAUCAGCCUGAGGUGGUGUUAGUGGGUCAGGUGAUCAGCCUGAGGUGGUGUUAGUGGGUCAGGUGAUCAGCCUGAGGUGGUGUUAGUGGGUCAGGUGGUCAGCCUAAGGUGGUGUUAGUGGGUCAGGUGGUCAGCCUGAGGUGGUGUUAGUGGGUCAGGUGAUCAGCCUGAGGUGUUGUUAGUGGGUCAGGUGAUCAGCCUGAGGUGGUGUUAGUGGGUCAGGUGGUCAGCCUGAGGUGGUGUUAGUGGGUCAGGUGGUCAGCCUGAGGUGGUGUUAGUGGGUCAGGUGGUCAGCCUGAGGUGGUGUUAGUGGGUCAGGUGGUCAGCCUGAGGUGGUGUUAGUUGGUCAGGUGAUCAGCCUGAGGUGGUGUUAGUGGGUCAGGUGAUCAGCUACCUAUCAUUCUUUAUUCAUUAGUCUGGUUCUACCCCAGAACACAGUGUGUCUGAGGUCCCACUUGAGUCCCCCUGCACAUUUGAAGGAUUCCCUUAUCCUACCCUUACCUUUCGGCACACCUCCUCAUAUUAAAUCCUCUGGUGUGGCCUGGGUGGUCUAGGGGUCAGUGCCACCACAUAUAGCAAACAAAGACCAGCAUCAACAUGGGUUCAAAUCCCCCACUUCCUAUGUGACGCACUGUCUCCUCCAUUAAACUCAUACUUUCUAUGACGCACUGUCUCCUCCAUUAAACUCAUACUAUCUAUGUGAUGCGCUGUCUCCUCCAUUAAACUCAUACUUUCUAUGAUGCACUGUCUCCUCCAUUAAACUCAUACUGUCUAUGUGACGCGCUGUCUCCUCCAUUAAAAAAUCAUAUUGUCUAUGUGACGUGCAGUCUCCUCCAUUAAACUCACACUGUCUAUGUGACGCGCUGUCUCCUCCAUUAAACUCAUACUUUCUAUGACGCACUGUCUCCUCCAUUAAAAAAUUCAUACUUCCUAUGUGACGCACUGUCUCCUCCAUUAAACUCAUACUGUCUAUGUGACGCACUGUCUCCUCCAUUAAACCCAUACUGUCUAUGUGACGCACUGUCUCCUCCAUUAAACCCAUACUGUCUAUGUGACGCACUGUCUCCUCCAUUAAAAAAUCAUAUUGUCUAUGUGACUUGCGGUCUCCUCCAUUAAACUCACACUGUCUAUGUGACGCGCUGUCUCCUCCAUUAAACUCAUACUUUCUAUGACGCACUGUCUCCUCCAUUAAACUCAUACUGUCUAUGUGACGUGCGGUCUCCUCCAUUAAAAAACUCAUACUUUCUAAUAACCCCUUUUACUGGUCAGGACGUGACAACUGUCUAUGUGACGUGCGGUCUCCUCCAUUAAAAAAUUGCAUUGUCCCCACAAUAAGUUGGAGAAGUUGAAAUAAAACCAUUUAUUUCAGUGAGGCAAAGGACCACCUGUCAUAGUGGAUUUAUAGUGACUGUAAACAGGCUAAGUUGUAUCAACAGUGUAAUGUAAACUACAGGGUUUUACUGAGUCUAAGGCUCUCAGGACACGGGCUGUUUCAGAAAUGGC
This 1756-nucleotide long non-coding RNA is filed under the name Salmo salar (Atlantic salmon). RNAcentral's name for it is "lncRNA (ENSSSAG00000097840.1, ENSSSAG00000102005.1)". The record is from RNAcentral. Lineage: Eukaryota; Metazoa; Chordata; Actinopteri; Salmoniformes; Salmonidae.